CAGCCGCCACGGGAAUACAGAGGGUGCGAGCGUUAAUCGGAUUUACUGGGCGUAAAGCGUGCGUAGGCGGCUUCUUAAGUCGGAUGUGAAAUCCCUGAGCUUAACUUAGGAAUUGCAUUCGAUACUGGGAAGCUAGAGUAUGGGAGAGGAUGGUAGAAUUCCAGGUGUAGCGGUAAAAUGCGUAGAGAUCUGGAGGUAUACCGAUGGCGAAGGCAGCCAUCUGGCCUAAUACUGACGCUGAGGUACGAAAGCAUGGGGAGCAAACAGGAUUAGAUACCCGUGUAGUCCCUGUCUCUUAUAC
This 301-nucleotide ribosomal RNA is filed under the name uncultured bacterium. RNAcentral's name for it is "partial 16S ribosomal RNA". It matches the Rfam family "Bacterial small subunit ribosomal RNA", at positions 509 to 807 of the family's 1533-position model. The record is from RNAcentral.